UACGUAGGGGGCAAGCGUUGUCCGGAAUCAUUGGGCGUAAAGCGCGUGUAGGCGGCUCGGUAAGUCCGCUCUGAAAGUCCAGGGCUCAACCCUGGGAUGCGGGUGGAUACUGCCGAGCUCGAGUCCGGAAGAGGCGAGUGGAAUUCCUGGUGUAGUGGUGAAAUACGUAGAUAUCAGGAGGAACACCGGUGGCGAAGGCGGCGAUCUGGCCCAACACUGACACUGAGACCCAAAAGCGUGGGGAUCAAACAGG
Molecule: ribosomal RNA, 253 nt
Filed under: uncultured bacterium
Lineage: Bacteria
Description: partial 16S ribosomal RNA
Rfam family: Bacterial small subunit ribosomal RNA
Source: RNAcentral